AAGAGAGGGGGGAAAAAAGGAAAGAAAUUACUCAAACCAUGUGAGUAAUUACAUCAUUUUUAUAGAUGGGACAGCAUGAAGACUGACAAGGGGAAUCCAGCAACACCACUAAGAGCAGCAGGUAACACUUACUUAACAUGUAUCAUCUGGACACAGUGCUUACAAUUGUAUUGUUUAAUUUAACCCAGAAAACUACACCACUAGGUUAACUGCUUUUAUUAUCAUCUCCUAUAGAGAUAACACUUCCUCUUCUGCUCAGGCUCAGAAGGAAUUUACUCAGAAACAAAGCAAGGAAAUAGAGGAACCAGAAGCCCAGUCAGUCAGCAGUGCAAAACUGUAGCCACAAUGUCCUUUGGCAAGGGCUCUAAAUCCCCAGGCUCUAGGGAGAACACUGCAGGAUUUCCCAUGUACUUCUCACUUAAGAGAAGCUCUAUUCUGGGUCACCAAACCAAUCACCUAAAUAUGAUAUCUGUGAUUACAUGGGAACUGUAGU
This 493-nucleotide long non-coding RNA is filed under the name Bos taurus (domestic cattle). RNAcentral's name for it is "long non-coding RNA NONBTAT017298". The record is from RNAcentral. Lineage: Eukaryota; Metazoa; Chordata; Mammalia; Artiodactyla; Bovidae.